CUGGCCAUUUUUCUGCUGCUCUAAUCUUCAUUUGGGAACCCAGGGAUAUGAAUGGGAAGCAAGACAGCCAUGGCAACAAAGGGCCUUGUGCUCACUCUAGCAGAGCGUCCUGCCUUUGUCUGUGAUCCAGCCUGGUGCGUCAGUCUUUGCAAACAAAAGAUGUGACCACCCGGCCGCCUAUCCCUGCCCCCACCAAAGCAGUAAUGGAGGCUGAGGCCUCUCCAGUUGAGCCGAGCCAGGAGAGCAGCAGACAGGUACAGAUCAGCAGGCCAGGAACAGGGCUCACAAAAGAGAGGUCGUGCUUAAUAAACCUGACUAAUUUCUUGGAGCGGCAACAAUGCCAAGUGGACAGAGGUGAAAUGAGGGACAGUAACUCAGUAACUCAUCCUGAUUCCGAGGCACAGAAGCACAGCUAAAAUCAACAGAGAGAGUUUGUGGAGAUGCUGCUGGGGCCUGAAAGGGUCUGGUGGGGCUCAGUUCUGGGGGAAGAUGGAUGGAAACUCAGUGAG
This 509-nucleotide long non-coding RNA is filed under the name Homo sapiens (human). RNAcentral describes it as "HSALNT0006162". The record is from RNAcentral. Lineage: Eukaryota; Metazoa; Chordata; Mammalia; Primates; Hominidae.